RNAcentral lists this long non-coding RNA (134 nucleotides) under Mustela putorius furo (domestic ferret). Its description in RNAcentral is "lncRNA (ENSMPUG00000028771.1)". Lineage: Eukaryota; Metazoa; Chordata; Mammalia; Carnivora; Mustelidae. The record is from RNAcentral.
UGUCUGCUUCCGUCAAGCGCUCACAGCUGUCCAGAGACUCCAGUUCCUUCUCUCGGGGAGUACGCAACCUAAGAUCAACCCACAGAAGGAUGGUCCACUCAUUCACCAAAUAUUUAUUCAGCGGCUGCUGUGCU